RNAcentral lists this long non-coding RNA (297 nucleotides) under Nicotiana benthamiana. RNAcentral describes it as "long non-coding RNA (NBEN_LNC003938)". Lineage: Eukaryota; Viridiplantae; Streptophyta; Magnoliopsida; Solanales; Solanaceae. The record is from RNAcentral.
UCAAUCAAUUCGAUUUCUUUCUAUUUUUAAGUACACCAAACGCUUCACGCUCCUUGGGAUUAUUAUAACAGUGAGAACCCCAUUUCACUAAUCGCCAGGGAGGGCAUAAGCAUGUCUUACUCAAAAUCGAUAGAUAGGUUGGUAGAGAGGUGGAAAUUGACCCCUCUGAGCUUGCGCAUUCACUUACUUGACUAAGGUUCAUACAAGAUCGGAUUGGAAUCGAUGACUUCAACCUAUUACCUUAGUAGUCCUAGGCAUAUAAAAGGCAUUCCAUUUUUUCUAGGGAUUCGUUUAUCA